AAGUUCUAGGAUAAAAACACAGUUCUGGUUGGUUGUCCAGACGUAUCUUUUAUAAAAUAUAAAAUAUAUCAGUAACCUUUCCCUUUGGUUUGCCCAUUCCUAGUAAAUAAAAU
This 113-nucleotide non-coding RNA is filed under the name Paramaledivibacter caminithermalis. Its description in RNAcentral is "Clostridium caminithermale Azaaromatic sequence". It matches the Rfam family "azaaromatic riboswitch aptamer (yjdF RNA)". RNAcentral also lists the same sequence under 1 other name. Lineage: Bacteria; Bacillati; Bacillota; Clostridia; Peptostreptococcales; Caminicellaceae. The record is from RNAcentral.